UUUGAACAUGAUGAAGUUUAUAUACCGCCCCAGGCUGAAAACGCAUGAUCGAUUGGAAAUGUUCUGAACUAAU
Non-coding RNA from Anopheles atroparvus, 73 nucleotides. Lineage: Eukaryota; Metazoa; Arthropoda; Insecta; Diptera; Culicidae. The record is from Rfam.